ACAUACGACCAUAGACUCAAGAGAAUUGGGCAUCCCGUCCGUUCUGCCAUACACAAGCUUGAGAUCGGUGGAUUAGUAGUUGGGUGGGUGACCACCAGCGAAUACCCACUGUUGUAUGUU
Pseudogymnoascus pannorum is the source of this 120-nucleotide ribosomal RNA. NCBI's taxonomy places the organism in Eukaryota, Fungi, Ascomycota, Leotiomycetes, Thelebolales, Thelebolaceae. The record is from Rfam.